Molecule: long non-coding RNA, 536 nt
Filed under: Helianthus annuus (common sunflower)
Lineage: Eukaryota; Viridiplantae; Streptophyta; Magnoliopsida; Asterales; Asteraceae
Description: sRNA HanXRQr2_Chr17g0812411
Source: RNAcentral
UGACCUUGACUAAUUACACACACACACACAUGAGUUUUAAGAUCAGUAAUACUUACACAAAUCUGGUACAUCGACACAGCAAUCAAACUUUCCCAAACAUUAUGAUAAAGCCUUAUCUUUUAGAGCACAUGCAUGAAACUGAAUAAUCCACCACCUGUGAAAACUCAAGAAAUUAAAGCAUCAAAAGUGAGACUGACUUGUCGUCCUUUGGGAAGCAUGACUGUACCUCAUGGGAUAAGUUGAAGCACCAUAAACAUUGCGUCUCACAGAGAUAAAGCAGCAGCAGCAGCAGCAGCAGCAGCAAACUUUUUCUUUAUCUUUGAUCACUUCACUUGAAUGUUCAAAAAGUACAAGAGACGACGAUAUAACAUGAAACCUCACAUCUCAAAGCAAUCCUACAACUCUCCAGCAAACAUAUCCAAUUCUCUUACAAGCUAAAUACAAAAAGGGCAACACUCAAUAGCUUGGUUUGAAAUAACGUCUGAGACUACGCGAUGAAGAAAUAGCUACCUGAAGCAACCGGAGGUGCGCUUCAG